Molecule: ribosomal RNA, 253 nt
Filed under: uncultured bacterium
Lineage: Bacteria
Description: partial 16S ribosomal RNA
Rfam family: Bacterial small subunit ribosomal RNA
Source: RNAcentral
UACAGAGGGUGCGAGCGUUAAUCGGAAUUACUGGGCGUAAAGCGCGCGUAGGUGGUUUUGCAAGUCGAGUGUGAAAGCCCCGGGCUCAACCUGGGAACUGCAUUCGAGUCUGCAUUACUGGAGUAUUGGAGAGGGCAGUGGAAUUUCCGGUGUAGCGGUGAAAUGCGUAGAUAUCGGAAGGAACAUCAGUGGCGAAAGCGACUGCCUGGCCAAAUACUGACGCUCAUGUGCGAAAGCGUGGGGAGCAAACAGG